RNAcentral lists this non-coding RNA (25 nucleotides) under Rattus norvegicus (Norway rat). Lineage: Eukaryota; Metazoa; Chordata; Mammalia; Rodentia; Muridae. The record is from RNAcentral.
UCCAAUGUAUUCCAUUGCUUUUUCA